AUAAAUACGGGGGUCCACAUUUCUACGAUGAGUUUACAGGAGUUGAUAGGCGGCCUUUUCUAGUACAUACAACAAAUAAAUUGUGCUGAAACCUUGGAGUAAGCCACUUCUAUAUAAUGUAUCUACCCUAUAGUUCAAACAUGCACUAACUUAUUUUUUUAUUGAUUGACAGGAAUAUAUGGGUGCAAAGUUCAUGGCCGCACACCAUAAAAUUAAGUCUCAAAACACUUCAAUCAGUACUAAAGGAUGGACCACUUGACCGUGAUUGCUUCAACAUGGCCAUACGCAAGUUCAUGUAUGAAAACGUCCAGUGGCUUCACAAAACCAGCGAAGCAAUAACAAAGCAUUGCCUGGACUUACAAUUUUGGACUGCUACUGGAUUUGGUAUAAGUCCAAUGUUCCAUAAGGAUAUAGAUCUUGCGGGGUCGGUUGGUAGCUGGUCGAAAAUCCAUUAUGAAGUUGCAAAAUGCAAAUUGGUAAGCUAGCUAUCCUUUGUUCUUAUUUGAAUGUGUUUUUUUAUAUUAUCUUGACGGUUGACUUUUUCCAUAUUCUUAUACCAGUAUGUGCUGUUGGAAGCUAUAUCUUGGUCAUACUGGACCAAGAAAGCAGAACACUUUAUCUACUAGACCCUAAUCCACUAAAUCCAAUGUAUCAGAACAACCCAACUAUGAGAUAUACCAAAAAAUUGUUAAACGUUACCAACUAUUACAACAGAGCCAUGCGUGUGGCAUGUCCUGGCUCUAGGUGGACUGAGGAUAUCGACUUGUGGGGCCAUAUAUAUGUCACAAAUCCGGUGGCUAACUCGAAUUUGUCGGGUUGUCUCGUGCAUCUGUUCAUGCGAUCCUGGAAAGAUGGAGCACUUCAUUUGCCGUCUUUUAAGGUCAUUCCGACUAGCAUUGGCAUUUAGAAUAUUAUAUUAUAUUUUAUAAUACAGUCAUUUAUUUUAUAAACAUAUGCAUUUGCUAGUCGAUUAAUUCCUGUUAUAAAUACGGGGGUCCACAGAGUUGGUAUCAGAGCCAUACGACUGUAGGAAAAGACCAAAAGGCGCCCCGCCCCUUUUCUAGUUGGCCAAGGGGGAAAUUCCCAUUUAGUAAUACUUUUAAAAAUAAAAAAACGCUAUGUUUACAAAACUCUAUACGAUUUUCAUCUUACUCUUAACUAUUUUCUUCACAAAACAAGUUUUACUCUUAGCUGACUUUGGGUUUUUCUUAAAAUUAGAUGGCAGAUCAGGAUUCACCCACUACCUAGGAGAUGGGUGUACCCCGCUCAGAGGGAUACGUCAUUGAGCUACAUCGGUUGAUGAGGCGCCUACGGUACCCCAGAUUUCCGAUCUACCGAGUUCGACAGUGUGGACCCGUUUGGGAGGCCUGGGUCGAGGUUCAUACACGAGUUCCUUCAAAGUCAGACUACAGCUUUCCGACACGCCAUCGUCGCGACUUACCGGAGACCGCGAUGCAGGGUGCAGCCCGGGAGGCCUUCCUCCGACUUAGCUCUAUUCACCGAGCUGAGUUAGUGAGUACCGAGUUUGCUCACCACCCGUUUCGAGAGGAGAGCAACUCCGUCUGCACAGUUCAGGACACACCUUGCUGCUACAACCCGAUAGUGACUCUACUGUCCCGAUGGGCUGAGGCAGUAGACGACUUCUACGAGGAGGCUCUGUUAGAGAUCGACGACCAGCAGAGGCGUGUGGGAGAGUUAGAGAGUGAGGUGACUGACCUCACAGUACAUCAGCUUCAGCUAGAGGAGGAGCACCAGGCUUGGGGCAGUGAGAUAGACUCACUGAAGGCACAGCUUCAGGUCCACGGUGACCAGUUUCAGCAGCUAUCUGAUCAGUACAAUGAUCGCCGCGGGAUGAUGGAUACACUCGAGGAGCAGCUGAGAGAGAGUUAGGAGCACGUCAGCCAGCUUGAGGAGCAGCUUCAAGCAGCUAUAGUCAGCACCACAGGAGCUUCUACUUCCACAGCAGUGGGGCGUGACCGCUACUUCUUCCUCACCCGGCCGUACCCACCAGCGUUCCACGCUCUUCUGGGAGAGGUUGGUAUGCUGGCUACUGAGUCAGCACCUUACUUGGUGGACCCGACAGUGACACAGCCACCUGCCCCAGAGAUUGUGCACACUCCACUGAUCCCUACUCCGUCACCGCAGCUGGGUUCCAGUAUGAAGACUCCGAUCCAGGUCGACUCCGAGACAGAGGGGACUGACACCGAGCCAGAGAUAGAGCCGGACAUCACUGAUCCUUUAGAGGACGAGACUCCUGUCCCCCGCAUCACCUUUAUCGGAGGCCCUCGCACCCUCAGCACUGCCCGCAAGAGCGCACGACCCCCGGGCAAGAAGCCCAAGCCAAAUCCAGAGGCCACUACUUCCGAGCCGUGGGGACUCGGGUUUGCCCGUGCCAGCGACCACCCUCUACCUGCCCCAGGAUCCUGCGGAUGGUUGGAUGACUAGACUGGAGGUCUAUUGCAGCUUCGAUCUCGCUUCAGAUGGUUUUUGGAUAGCAUGCGAGACACACACCCCCGCUACCUAGAUUGACGAGUAGCUUGAUGAUUAGUUUGAUGUAUCUUUUGGAUGAACUUUAUUUGGACUGCGUAUAUGUGCAGUCGAUUGCAUCAUGAUUUAUGUACUAUCUGUGGAACUCUGUGAUGUUAUUUAUGAUAUUAUUACUGUUGUGUUAUGAAUGAGUUUAUUCCACCAUGCUUGCAAAAUAAAGUUCACAAUCAAAACAACUCCUUUAACGAGAUAAAACCAAAAGGGCUAGUUAGGAAAAUAGGAUACUUACCUCAUCGGCGUACACAGAUGGCAAGCCGACGUAGGGCGUCAACCAGCAAUGAAGAAACUCAAGCACCCGACCUAAACACCCUGGCCGGAGUCAUGGCUACCCAAACCCAACUUCUACAAGCCAUCACAAAUAAUCAAGGCAACCGUGGAGGAUCAAGCUUUGGAGAAUUCAUGAGGACUAAGCCACCCACGUUCGCCACAGCUGAAGAACCUAUGGAUGCUGAGGAUUGGUUAAGGAUCAUUGAGAAGAAGCUGACCCUUGUUCGAGUACGUGAAGCCGAUAAAGUGAUCUUUGUGGCGAACCAAUUGGAAGGACCAACCGGAGACUGGUGGGACACAUAUAAAGAAGCCCGAGAAGAAGAUGCUGGAGAACCAAACCGGGAGGAAUUCACUACAGCCUUCCAUGACAACUUCGUGCCUGCCGCUGUGAUGCGAAUGAAGAAGAAUGAGUUCAGGAGACUACGGCAAGGAAAUACCACCAUACAAGAGUACCUGAACCGUUUCACUCAGCUGGCGCGUUACGCGACUGGAGAUCUUGCCGAUGACGAGGAAAAGAUCGACAAAUUCAUCGAAGGCCUGAACGACGAGUUGCGUGGGCCCAUGAUUGGAUAGGACCACGAUAGUUUCCAGAGUUUAAUCAAUAAGGUCGUUAGAUUGGAAAACGACCGGAAGGUUGUGGAGCACAAUCGCAAAAGGAGGCGUG
Oryza sativa Japonica Group (Japanese rice) is the source of this 3478-nucleotide non-coding RNA. NCBI's taxonomy places the organism in Eukaryota, Viridiplantae, Streptophyta, Magnoliopsida, Poales, Poaceae. The record is from RefSeq and is a predicted model, not a curated record.